Molecule: ribosomal RNA, 484 nt
Filed under: Corynebacterium amycolatum
Lineage: Bacteria; Bacillati; Actinomycetota; Actinomycetes; Mycobacteriales; Corynebacteriaceae
Description: bacterial SSU rRNA
Rfam family: Bacterial small subunit ribosomal RNA
Source: RNAcentral
GUGCUUAACACAUGCAAGUCSAACGGUAAGGCUCCAGCUUGCUGGGGUACACGAGUGGCGAACGGGUGAGUAACACGUGGGUGACCUGCCCUGCACUUCGGGAUAAGCCUGGGAAACUGGGUCUAAUACCGGAUAGGACCGCACCGUGAGGGUGUGGUGGAAAGUUUUUUCGGUGUGGGAUGGGCCCGCGGCCUAUCAGCUUGUUGGUGGGGUAAUGGCCUACCAAGGCGGCGACGGGUAGCCGGCCUGAGAGGGUGGACGGCCACAUUGGGACUGAGACACGGCCCAGACUCCUACGGGAGGCAGCAGUGGGGAAUAUUGCACAAUGGGCGGAAGCCUGAUGCAGCGACGCCGCGUGGGGGAUGACGGCCUUCGGGUUGUAAACUCCUUUCACCAUCSACGAAGGGUUUCUGACGGUAGAUGGAGAAGAAGCACCGGCUAACUACKUGCCAGCAGCCGCGGUAAUACGUAGGGUGCGAGCGUU